CGGACGGGUGAGUAACGCGUGAGAAUCUGCCCUCAGGAGGGGGACAACGGUUGGAAACGGCCGCUAAUACCCCAUAUGCCUACUGGUGAAAUGAAUUUCGCCUGAGGAUGAGCUCGCGUCUGAUUAGCUUGUUGGUGAGGUAAUGGCUCACCAAGGCUUCGAUCAGUAGCUGGUCUGAGAGGAUGAUCAGCCACACUGGGACUGAGACACGGCCCAGACUCCUACGGGAGGCAGCAGUGGGGAAUUUUCCGCAAUGGGCGAAAGCCUGACGGAGCAACGCCGCGUGAGGGACGAAGGCCUCUGGGCUGUAAACCUCUUUUCUCAAGGAAGAAGAUAUGACGGUACUUGAGGAAUAAGCCACGGCUAAUUCCGUGCCAGCAGCCGCGGUAAUACGGGAGUGGCAAGCGUUAUCCGGAAUUAUUGGGCGUAAAGCGUCCGCAGGCGGCUUUUCAAGUCUGCUGUUAAAGCGUGGAGCUUAACUCCAUCAUGGCAGUGGAAACUGAAAGGCUUGAAUAUGGUAAGGGCAGAAGGAAUUCCCGGUGUAACGGUGAAAUGCGUAGAUAUCGGGAAGAACACCAGUGGCGAAAGCGCUCUGCUGGGCCAUUACUGACGCUCAUGGACGAAAGCCAGGGGAGCGAAAGGGAUUAGAUACCCCAGUAGUC
Molecule: ribosomal RNA, 662 nt
Filed under: uncultured marine microorganism
Description: bacterial SSU rRNA
Rfam family: Bacterial small subunit ribosomal RNA
Source: RNAcentral